This 497-nucleotide ribosomal RNA is filed under the name uncultured bacterium. RNAcentral's name for it is "partial 16S ribosomal RNA". It matches the Rfam family "Bacterial small subunit ribosomal RNA", at positions 28 to 507 of the family's 1533-position model. The record is from RNAcentral.
GAUGAACGCUGGCGGCGUGCCUAAUACAUGCAAGUCGAGCGAACAGACGAGGAGCUUGCUCCUCUGACGUUAGCGGCGGACGGGUGAGUAACACGUGGAUAACCUACCUAUAAGACUGGGAUAACUUCGGGAAACCGGAGCUAAUACCGGAUAAUAUAUUGAACCGCAUGGUUCAAUAGUGAAAGACGGUUUUGCUGUCACUUAUAGAUGGAUCCGCGCCGCGCUAGCUAGUUGGUAAGGUAACGGCUUACCAAGGCAACGAUGCGUAGCCGACCUGAGAGGGUGAUCGGCCACACUGGAACUGAGACACGGUCCAGACUCCUACGGGAGGCAGCAGUAGGGAAUCUUCCGCAAUGGGCGAAAGCUAGACGGAGCAGCGCCGCGUGAGUGAUGAAGGUCUUCGGAUCGUAAAACUCUGUUAUUAGGGAAGAACAAAUGUGUAAGUAACUAUGCACGUCUUGACGGUACCUAAUCAGAAAGCCACGGCUAACUACGUG